RNAcentral lists this long non-coding RNA (3651 nucleotides) under Homo sapiens (human). RNAcentral describes it as "HSALNT0308136". Lineage: Eukaryota; Metazoa; Chordata; Mammalia; Primates; Hominidae. The record is from RNAcentral.
GCCGUCCACUUUAACCGGGGAGAUGGGGUUACGCCCCCUUCCCCUAACCCAGAAUCAGGUGGUGGCAGCGCCCCGAAGAUCCCAGGGACCGCAAUUAUGAUGCUCCCUUUGUUUAAUGCCAGGAGGCAGCGGACACAUUGUGAUUCUUUACAGGGUGUUUGCCAAACAUUUAUGGGUGGAGGGAACAGAAGCUCUGGCCCUUCCACCUUGUUCUCCAGCCACUUUCCAGCUAAACACACACACACAUAUGCACACACACAUACUAUUGUUAAAUUCAAACACCCUGGGUUUGGUUUUUGCUGGUGGGGGUGGAGUGGAGUUCCUGGAGAAGCAAAGCAGUCCUAAAUCACCGAGUUGAUGGGUCUUUUGGGUGUUCCCACCAGUCCUUACUGAUCUCUACAAAAUCCCAAGUUACCAAGCUCUUCAACAAAUAGAAGACAGCUGUCAAACACCAUGGGCUACAGAUACAACGGGCAUAUUCGUAAGCAUAGUAGCUGUUGAUAGUUCUGGAAUUUGGAGCAAACACUUAUUCAUUGAACAGCUAUGUACUGAGUCCCUACCUUGUCAGGCACUGGCUAGGCACGGGAAUAAACGGAGAGCAUAAAUAAGAUAACCUGCUCUCAGAAGAUGCCAACAUAAACCGCAUAGUCUCUGCUAAUGAAUGUAAUUACAAACUGAGAUAAGGGAUCUCAAGGGAAAACAUGCUUCUGAAGUGAACCCACAACAAAGGAAUCAGACCAGACUGGUGGGUGAGGGCAGGCUUCCCUGAGAAAGUGACAGGAGUUGAGAUCUGGAGAAGGGAGAAUUAAGUAAGCAAGUGGAGAGGAAGUGCUCCCAGGCAGCCCCAUGUGCCCCUGGCAGGCCAUAGAGCAAACCUGUAGGGCAGCAUUGAACAGCUUUGAAGAGCAAACUAGAGCUACAGAAUUCUUUGGUCAAGACCAAACAUCUGCCUCUACUGUAUAUUCACAAACCAAAUGUCCAUUCUUCCUCCCUACUCUUAGAACCUCCCCCAAAGAUUCCACAUGAGACAGGAGAGAAAGGAGCAUUAAUAUCCUCACAUUUACCAUCCAGCCACUCUGGUUGUCGAAGCAGCUAAAUCUCAAAUUUACCUUUAUUAGUCUUAUAGAUUAUAAUUCAGAUCAUGCAGACAAGAAGAACCAAGGAACUUUGUUCCUGGCUUCCACUCCUCUGUUAUCAAUGUUGCAUGGAAACAAACAAACAAAAAAUUCUAAGGCCUUUCUCAGACAUACAACAGAUUGUUUAUGUUGCAUCUAUGAGUCAGUUCUUCACUGCUGUUAUUGGUAUGUCUAUUUACUGAACACCCUGCAUGGCUUUGUAAGUAAACUGAAUAGGACCCUGCAUUCUCUACUUAAAUAGAGCCAUCUUUCAGAAGAGUGAUAACAAAUGACUUAAUUUGGAAGAUUCACUCAAGAUCCAAUUUGAUUCAUCGCGGACAUGCCUGCACCUAAGUUCCUGGGGCCAAAGUGAGGAGGCAGCAGUUCUCCACCCAAUCAGACCAUCAUCCUCUUUUUGUAACUAGUAUCUUUAACACUCCCCUUACUAUCCUGAAAGGCUGAGCGAGUACUGGGAAAAAGGAAAUACCCAGACAUUUGAGGGAUCACUGACACUGCUUCUGAAUUAAUGCUAAUUCCUGAGGAUUGCAAACACCACUGGAUCCACCAAUCAAAAUGGGGAUCUAUGAGUGAAGUUUAUUAUGGUAAGACAGGCCAAAUGGAAGCCUCUGGAAUUUCCUCUUGAUACCAGAAUAGAAAACCAACAACAAUGCUCAAUCCCUGGAAAUAUGUAGAAAUUGGUACCACCAGAAAAGACGUAGAAGAUACAGGAAUGAUAAUACUGUCACAUCUCCAUUUAACUCACCUGUUGGGCCUAUGCAAAAGAUCUUAGAGAAUAACUAUGAUUUGUUAUUAAGUUGUAAACUUAAUCAAAUGGUAAUGUCAGUUGCAGCUGCUAUUCUAUAUAUGCUGUCUUUACCGCAACAAAGCAACUCAGCCCUAGGCACCUGGUGUGCACUAUUGAUAUGGCAAAUGCUUUUUAUCUAUUUCAAUUUUCACCAAAAGUUGUUUUCUUUUAUAUGGCAAGAUCAACAGUACACCUUUACAGUCUUCUCUAGGGGAUGUAAACACUCCCACUCUCUGGCAUAAUCUCAUCUGCACAGGUCUUGAUCACUAUGUUAAAGACAUCGAGCUGACUGGCCCUGAUAAACAGGAAGUAACAAAUAUUUUAGCUGCCUUAACAACACACAUGUGAGCCAGAGAUUGGGUAUAAACCCCAAGAAAAUUCAUCACCUUAGUGAAGUUUCUGGAGGUCCAGUGGUCUAGAAAACACCAGGAUAUUCUCCCCAACGUAAAAGACAAAUUACUUCACCUUGUACCAUCUACCACUAAGAAAAGAGACACAAUACUUUCUGGGUAUCCUUGGAUUUUAGAGGCAAUAUGUAUCACAUCUGAGUGUGAUGCUGUGACCCAUUUAUAGAGCAACCCAUAAGGCUGGAAUUUUUUAUUAGGAAUAAGGGGAGAAGAAAUAUCUGUAGCAGGACUUGAUGACCCAGAGGAAUCCAAUGAUACUUAAAGUGUCUGUGGCAAAUAAGGAUGCUAUAUAGAGCCUCUGGUGAGCCCUGAUUAGAUCUACAAUGCAGAAUUCCUUAGUUGUAGAGCAAGUCAUGCCCUCUUCUGCAGAUAACAAUUUUCUAUUUGAGGAAUGGUCCCUAGCUUGCUAAGUGAAUUUGAAUGACUGGCCAUGAGACAAUCAAGUGACUGCAAGCUCAGCUGCCCAUUAUGAACUGAGUGUAAUCUAAUCUACCAAUCCAUAAGACCAGACAUACACAAGAGGAAUUCCUCAUCAAAUGGAAAUGGUAUGUAAGAGACUGAGCUUAAGCAGGUCCAGAAAGCACAAGUUGCCUUAGCAGGUAGCUCAGAUUCCUUUGAUACUUACUCCUGGUGCCUCCUUAUCUUCAACUUCAUGGGGAAUUUCUUAAGACCAGUUAACUGAUUUACAGACAGUUCUCCUAAAUAUACUGGCACAAGCUGGAAGUGGUCUAUUCCAGCAUCACAGUCUCAAUAAGGAAUGCCCCCGAUGACAGUACUGAAGGGAAAUUUUCUCAGUGCAAGAAAUUUCCAGCAGCGCACCUAGGGUCUACUUUGUCUGGAUUGAGAGAGACGGUCAAAGGUAUAGAUCUACACUCAUUCACAGGCAAUUAUUGAUGGUUUUGCUGAAUGGUCAGCAACUUGGAAAGAUGAGGUGGUCCGGGAAAGAGGUUUGUGGGUGCACCUUUCAGAAUAGGCACAAAGUGUGAGGAAUUUGUGUGCCAUGUGAAUGCUCACCACAGAGCAUCUACUCUGAGAAGGCUUUUAGUAAUUAGGUGAAUGACACAUUCGGUGGAGUGGGCCUCUUUCUCCACCUAUUGCAGUGCUUGCUCAAAGUAGCCAUGGAGUCAGGAAUAAAGACUAUGUUUGGGCUUCAAAUCUUAGGCUUCUCUGCAGUAAGGCUGAUAUCUGACAACAUCAGAAAUCACACAUUGAGAGGCACCAUUUCCAAGGGAGACUAGUCAGCCAUGUGGUAGCAAAUUGAUUAUUUUGGAACCCUUCCUUCAUGGAGGGAACAGUUACUUGUCUUCACUAGAGUAGACACAUA